ACGGGGUGCAGCAGGCGCGAAAAUUUCACAAUGCCCGCAAGGGUGAUGGAGGGAUUCGGAGUGCCUCUUCUUAUUAGAAGGGGCUUUUGACGACCUUAAAUAAGUCGUUGAAUAAGUGGUGGGUAAUACGGGUGCCAGCCGCCGCGGUAAUACCCGAGCCACAAGUGGUGACCACGUUUAUUGGGCUUAGAGCGUUCGUAGCCGGCUUUACAAGUCUCUAAUGAAAUCUGGCAGCUAACUGUCAGGCGUGUUAGGGAAACUGUUGAGCUUGGGACCGGGAGAGGUCUGGGGUAUUCUUGGGGUAGGAGUAAAAUCCUGUAAUCCUAGGUGGACCAUCGGUGGCGAAGGCGUCCGACUGGAACGAGCUCGACGGUGAGGGACGAAAGCCAGGGGAGCGACCCGGAUUAGAUACCCGGUUAGUCCUGGCCGUAAAUGCUGCUGGUUUGGUGUCGCAUAACUCACGAGGUUAUGCGGUGCCGUAGGGAAGCCGUUUAACCAGCCGCCUGGGGAGUACGACCGCAAGGUUGAAACUUAAAGGAAUUGGCGGGGGAGUACUACAAGGGGUGGAUGCUGCGGUUUAAUUGGAUACAACGCCGGAUAACUCACCAGAAUUGACAGCACUAUGAUAGUCAGUCUGAA
This 639-nucleotide ribosomal RNA is filed under the name uncultured archaeon. Its description in RNAcentral is "bacterial SSU rRNA". It matches the Rfam family "Archaeal small subunit ribosomal RNA", at positions 325 to 963 of the family's 1478-position model. The record is from RNAcentral.